RNAcentral lists this unclassified non-coding RNA (409 nucleotides) under soil metagenome. RNAcentral describes it as "partial contains 5.8S ribosomal RNA, internal transcribed spacer 2, and large subunit ribosomal RNA". The stretch from base 1 to 121 matches the Rfam family "5.8S ribosomal RNA", at positions 35 to 154 of the family's 154-position model. The record is from RNAcentral.
GAUGAAGAACGUAGCGAAAUGCGAUAAGUAGUGUGAAUUGCAGAAGUACCGUGAAUCAUCGAAUCUUUGAACGCAAAUUGCACUCUCUGGUAUUCCGGGGAGUAUGCCUGUUUGAGGGUCGCUUAACAAACCAUCGAUUUCGUUGCUUUUUUUUAAAAAGUAAUGUUUAUCGGAUUUGAGCCGUCUUUUUUUUUAUAUUUAAGUGGCUUAAAAUUGAUUUUUUUGGUAUGAUCGAAGCGUAUUUUAUGAUCAAUUUUUGGUUAAAGAAACGCAUACGCGUACCGUUAUUUGUAUGAUGUAAUACGUUUGACUAUUGGAUUUAGUUCAUUCGUAUACGAUAUUUUUCAAUAUUUGACCUCAAAUCAGGUAAGAACACCCGCUGAACUUAAGCAUAUCAAUAAGCGGAGGA